GAUGAACGCUAGCGGGAGGCUUAACACAUGCAAGUCGAGCGGGAAUGGCAGCAAUGCCAUGAGAGCGGCGGACGGGUGCGUAACGCGUAUGCAACCUGCCUUAUGCAGGGGGAUAGCCCAUGGAAACGUGGAUUAAUACCCCAUAUACCAAUAGAGCUGCAUAGCUUGUUUGGGAAAACUACGGUGGCAUAAGAUGGGCAUGCGUCUGAUUAGCUGGAUGGUAAGGUAACGGCUUACCAUGGCGACGAUCAGUAGGGGUCCUGAGAGGGUUACCCCCCACACUGGUACUGAGACACGGACCAGACUCCUACGGGUGGCAG
Molecule: ribosomal RNA, 320 nt
Filed under: uncultured Bacteroidota bacterium
Lineage: Bacteria; Pseudomonadati; Bacteroidota
Description: bacterial SSU rRNA
Rfam family: Bacterial small subunit ribosomal RNA
Source: RNAcentral